GGAUGUAGCUCAGUGGUACAGCAUGUGCUUAACAUGUACAAGGUCCUGGGUUCAUUCCCCAGUACUUCCG
Molecule: transfer RNA, 70 nt
Filed under: Camelus bactrianus (Bactrian camel)
Lineage: Eukaryota; Metazoa; Chordata; Mammalia; Artiodactyla; Camelidae
Also listed under: 1 other name
Rfam family: tRNA
About the family: Transfer RNA (tRNA) molecules are approximately 80 nucleotides in length.
Source: Rfam by way of RNAcentral